UCCUUAUUGAGAGAGGCGGAGGGAAUAGGCCCUGCGAUGCCCGGCAACCUGGAGGGAUUUUGGAAAAACUGAUUUAGAUGUUUUCAAGAUUCUAUACAAGGUGCUACAUCCUACAGAAGCUAAUUCUGAAAGAUGAGGA
Molecule: regulatory RNA element, 139 nt
Organism: Eubacterium nodatum ATCC 33099
Lineage: Bacteria; Bacillati; Bacillota; Clostridia; Peptostreptococcales; Anaerovoracaceae
Rfam family: SAM riboswitch aptamer (S box leader)
About the family: The SAM riboswitch is found upstream of a number of genes which code for proteins involved in methionine or cysteine biosynthesis in Gram-positive bacteria. The SAM riboswitch acts at the level of transcription termination control.
Source: Rfam